GUAACAUUGGUGCUUGCACCAGAUGACGAGUGGCGCACGGGUGCGUAACGCGUAUGCAACCUACCUUUUACUAGAGUAUAGCCCAGAGAAAUUUGGAUUAAUCCUCUAUAACAUCUUUUAAUUUCAUGAUUUUAAGAUUAAAGUUUUAACGGUAAAAGAUGGGCAUGCGUCCUAUUAGUUUGUAGGUGAGGUAACGGCUCACCUAGACUACGAUAGGUAGGGGCCCUGAGAGGGGGAUCCCCCACACUGGUACUGAGACACGGACCAGACUCCUACGGGAGGCAGCAGUAAGGAAUAUUGGACAAUGGACGAAAGUCUGAUCCAGCCAUGCCGCGUGCAGGAUGACAGCCCUACGGGUUGUAAACUGCUUUUAUACAGGAAGAAACACUCCGACGUGUCGGAGCUUGACGGUACUGUAAGAAUAAGGAUCGGCUAACUCCGUGCCAGCAGCCGCGGUAAUACGGAGGAUCCAAGCGUUAUCCGGAAUCAUUGGGUUUAAAGGGUCCGCAGGCUGUUUUUUAAGUCAGAGGUGAAAUCCUACAGCUCAACUGUAGAACUGCCUUUGAUACUGGAAAACUUGAGUUAUUGUGAAGUGGUUAGAAUGUGUGGUGUAGCGGUGAAAUGCAUAGAUAUCACACAGAAUACCGAUUGCGAAGGCAGAUCACUAAUAAUAUACUGACGCUCAUGGACGAAAGCGUGGGGAGCGAACAGGAUUAGAUACCCUGGUAGUCCACGCCGUAAACGAUGGAUACUAGCUGUUCGUCUAACAUUGGUUAGAUGAGUGGCUAAGCGAAAGUGAUAAGUAUCCCACCUGGGGAGUACGGUCGCAAGACUGAAACUCAAAGGAAUUGACGGGGGCCCGCACAAGCGGUGGAGCAUGUGGUUUAAUUCGAUGAUACGCGAGGAACCUUACCAGGGCUUAAAUGUAGUGGGACAGGUCUAGAGAUAGACCCUUCUUCGGACUCAUUACAAGGUGCUGCAUGGUUGUCGUCAGCUCGUGCCGUGAGGUGUCAGGUUAAGUCCUAUAACGAGCGCAACCCCUAUCGUUAGUUGCCAGCGAGUAAUGUCGGGAACUCUAACGAAACUGCCAGUGCAA
This 1096-nucleotide ribosomal RNA is filed under the name uncultured bacterium. RNAcentral's name for it is "bacterial SSU rRNA". It matches the Rfam family "Bacterial small subunit ribosomal RNA", at positions 69 to 1160 of the family's 1533-position model. The record is from RNAcentral.